Molecule: ribosomal RNA, 1346 nt
Filed under: uncultured bacterium
Lineage: Bacteria
Description: partial 16S ribosomal RNA
Rfam family: Bacterial small subunit ribosomal RNA
Source: RNAcentral
GACGAACGCUGGCGGCGUGCUUAACACAUGCAAGUCGAACGGAAAGGCCCUGCUUUUGUGGGGUGCUCGAGUGGCGAACGGGUGAGUAACACGUGAGUAACCUGCCCUUGACUUUGGGAUAACUUCAGGAAACUGGGGCUAAUACCGGAUAGGAGCUCCUGCUGCAUGGUGGGGGUUGGAAAGUUUCGGCGGUUGGGGAUGGACUCGCGGCUUAUCAGCUUGUUGGUGGGGUAGUGGCUUACCAAGGCUUUGACGGGUAGCCGGCCUGAGAGGGUGACCGGCCACAUUGGGACUGAGAUACGGCCCAGACUCCUACGGGAGGCAGCAGUGGGGAAUAUUGCACAAUGGGCGGAAGCCUGAUGCAGCAACGCCGCGUGCGGGAUGACGGCCUUCGGGUUGUAAACCGCUUUCGCCUGUGACGAAGCGUGAGUGACGGUAAUGGGUAAAGAAGCACCGGCUAACUACGUGCCGGCAGCCGCGGUGAUACGUAGGGUGCGAGCGUUGUCCGGAUUUAUUGGGCGUAAAGGGCUCGUAGGUGGUUGAUCGCGUCGGAGGUGUAAUCUCGGGGCUUAACCCUGAGCGUGCUUUCGAUACGGGUUGACUUGAGGAAGGUAGGGGAGAAUGGAAUUCCUGGUGGAGCGGUGGAAUGCGCAGAUAUCAGGAGGAACACCAGUGGCGAAGGCGGUUCUCUGGGCCUUUCCUGACGCUGAGGAGCGAAAGCGUGGGGAGCGAACAGGCUUAGAUACCCUGGUAGUCCACGCUGUAAACGGUGGGUACUAGGUGUGGGGUCCAUUCCACGGGUUCCGUGCCGUAGCUAACGCUUUAAGUACCCCGCCUGGGGAGUACGGCCGCAAGGCUAAAACUCAAAGGAAUUGACGGGGCCCCGCACAAGCGGCGGAGCAUGCGGAUUAAUUCGAUGCAACGCGUAGAACCUUACCUGGGUUUGACAUGGAUCGGGAGUGCUCAGAGAUGGGUGUGCCUCUUUUGGGGUCGGUUCACAGGUGGUGCAUGGCUGUCGUCAGCUCGUGUCGUGAGAUGUUGGGUUAAGUCCCGCAACGAGCGCAACCCUUGUUCACUGUUGCCAGCACGUUAUGGUGGGGACUCAGUGGAGACCGCCGGGGUCAACUCGGAGGAAGGUGGGGAUGACGUCAAGUCAUCAUGCCCCUUAUGUCCAGGGCUUCACGCAUGCUACAAUGGCUGGUACAGAGAGUGGCGAGCCUGUGAGGGUGAGCGAAUCUCGGAAAGCCGGUCUCAGUUCGGAUUGGGGUCUGCAACUCGACCUCAUGAAGUCGGAGUCGCUAGUAAUCGCAGAUCAGCAACGCCGCGGUGAAUACGUUCCCGGGGCU